This 26593-nucleotide long non-coding RNA is filed under the name Citrus x clementina. RNAcentral describes it as "Citrus clementina (C. clementina) long non-coding RNA (CCLE_LNC000731)". Lineage: Eukaryota; Viridiplantae; Streptophyta; Magnoliopsida; Sapindales; Rutaceae. The record is from RNAcentral.
UACCUUCCUGGUUCCUUUAUCUAUCGUCAAGACAUUGUGUUAUGGAUCGCAAUUCCAUUAACACUGUUCUCCUCUCAAUUAUUGAGCGUAGCUAAACCUGAAAGUGGAUCUUCAAAUCAUUGAGCAUGGCAGCAUUGCAAUUAUUUAUUCUCUUUGUGGCCCUUAAUGUGGUCCUCAGUUCAUCACGGCAAAUCAUCACGACCCUGCCGGGCUUUGAUGGUGAUCUUCCCUUCAAACUCGAAACUGGGUAUGUUCUAUUUUGUUUUAUUUUUCCUUUCUUGACAUACUUAUUAGCUGAAUUAAUUUCCCCAGAAAGAAAAAAAAACAAGUUAUUAAUUACUUUUAGGUAUAUUGGGGUGGGAGAGAAUGAUAAUGUGCAGCUGUUUUACUACUUCAUUGAAUCCGAGCGGAGUCCUGAAGAUGACCCUCUUGUGCUUUGGCUCUCCGGAGGCCCUGGUUGCUCUGGAUUUUGGGCCCUUGCGUAUCAACUUGGUAUAUUUUUUUAUUCCUGAAAUGAAAUAUAUAUAUAUAUAUAUAUAUAUAUAUAUAUAUGCUUUUAUUUUUUUGGUUUCCAAUCUCCUUUUUUUCGUAGAGAGUGGGGUCCAAAUCUUACGUUAUAUGCAACACCUCACGAGAUUUAAGAGUAAAACCAAAUAGCACCCACAUCAUAUAUAUUUGUUGAAGUAUGCAUCGACGGCUCUUCCUCUAGACAACUUAGGCGAUUGUUUAGAGCUCUACUAUAGAGAAUUGGCUGACGAUUUAAAAAAUAUGGAGAGAGAGAGAGCCCAAAUAUGGUGAUUAAAACGUCUACACAGUAGAGGCUAGUGGUAAAAAUAGUGCAUGAAAGUUAUAACUAGAUGUCAUUCUUAGGUUAAAAAGAAGAAAUAUUUUUAAGGUUAUGUAUCAUAUUUAAGGAAAAAAGACAAAAAUAUUCCUUUUGUACUAGAUUUAUUAUUUCUCAUAAACACUUGAUGUGUCCAACUUGACACUUGAUUUCUAAACUCUUCUAAUUUAGUAGAUUAUUCCAAAUGGUGUCUUUAUAUUACAUAUGGCAAAAAAGCUCGGGCCGACCCUUCCCAUUCCCAUAAGCUUUGGCUUGGGCCUCUACAUGAAGGGUCUAGACAAGGGCUUAAGGGAAAAAUGCCUAAGCUAGGCCCAAACCCUCUAUUUUUAUAAAAAAUAAAUAAAUAAGUUAUAUAUUAGAAUAAUAAAUUAAAAAUUAAAAAAUAAUGAAAAAAAGCUUAAAUCCCUAAUUUAUAUAUCAAUAAUGAAUCAAAAAACCCAAAUUAUAAAUUAUACUAUCUUUUGCGCUUAAUUAAUUAAAAGAGUGCUUAAAUUAGAGAAUCCAGUAUUAAAAAAAUUAAAUCUCUAAAUUUUUAUUUGUUUUUUUCUUUAUUUAUUAUUUUAUUUUAAAAUAUUCAUUUUCUAUAAUUCAUUGUUGAUUAUAAUAACUUGUUCAUUAUUAACUCAUUUUCAAAUUUACAACAGUUUAAAAAAAGUAAAAAAAUAAGUGAAAGUCCAAGCCUAGCCCGAGCCUGGCCCUUAAACUUCCCCUCUAAUAGGCUUAGGCCGGACUUUUUCGCCAUCCAUAGUUUAUAUUGCUCUUAAGUAUUAUACCAAUUUUAUUCUUUUAAUUAUCUACGUGUCCUUCAUUUUUUGGUUCAAAAAUAUCGUAUUAAAUUUACCUUCAAACAGGAAUCAAUGGUUGUGGCACAAGGCAUUAGUUAUAGUAAAUGAUAGAGUUGGGCUACCGGAAGAAACAAUGAAUUAAAAAACAAUAGCUAUUGGUUGCAGAUACUUAGUAUAAUAAGUUAUAAUAACACGUCAGUAUUUUAAUUUUUUUAAUUAAUAGAACAAUAUGUGAGUUGGUUGAAAACAUUGAUUAUAAGUCUUACAUCCAGGUUAAAAUAGAAAAAAAGAAGUAUUUAAGCACGUUGACAUUUUUAAUGAGACAUUAUUAGCGGGAUAUUAGGAACGUCAUCGGGAUUUUAAUGGAUUUUAAAAUAGUAAAUUACAUGAGGAGUUUUAUCAUUAUCCUUUCUUAAUAUUCUUGAUGGUAUGUCCUUUGUAGGUCCAUUGUCAUUUGACUACGAAAAUUCUAGAGAAAAUUCCCCAAAGUUGUUGUUGAAUCCAUACUCAUGGACAAAGGUGAGACAUUAAUUAGAAAAUUCUUUUACAAACUUUGUGUUUUAAUAAUAACAAUAAUAAAUUUGGAAUUGUAUUAGAGAUCUCAUUGGGAGUUGCAUGUAAAUUAUUAUCCAGGUUGCCAGUAUUAUAUUCAUAGAUGCACCAGCUGGCACCGGAUUCUCAUAUGUCAAAAAUUGGCAAGGAUUCGUUAUGAAUGAUACACUUUCAGCAGUGCAAACGUAUUUUUUUCUAAGAAAGGUGAGUAAAAAUUGAGGCAGUGUGCGUCUUACUGCAUAAUAAAAUCACUAACAAUUAAUUUAUUAUAAGUUGAUGACCAUUUGUAAGAAUAUUAGCUUUAAACUAAAAGUUAAUAUUUUAGCUGUUGUGCUUUAUUAAUUAAGUGGAAGUCCAAGUAGUGCAAACAUAUAUACCUUAAAUCAUGCAUCAAUUGAGUCUAUUGGUUUUCAAAAUUAAUGCAUUAUGCAUGCUAACCAAUCUUUUUAAUUUGUAUAUGAAUGAUGGAUUAGUGGCUUAUAGCUCAUCCCAGUUUCCUCGCGAAUCCACUCUAUAUUUUUGGCGAGUCCUAUUCUGGCAAAGUCCUUCCAAUCGUUGUUCAAAAAAUUUCUGACGGUAAUUUUUUUUUUCCCCUUCUUCCAUCUUAGAAUUUAGUUACUCUGCAUGCAGUGAAACAGAAUCAAACAUUUGCCAAAUUCACUUGCAGAAUAUAAUGGCAUUGAUUAUUACCAUAUUUAUCACAAUUAUCAUUAUUUAGUGGCUGAUACUUUGUUGCAGGUAUUGAUCUCGGAGAUGAGCCUAGAAUGAAUCUCAAAGUAGGUCACCUAGAAUCGGAUAUCACAUAAAUUUUGAUUUAUUUCAUUCUCAGUUUUUUACAUGACUAUUGAAUCUUAACAAUUUUGAUAAUGGACACAGGGAUAUGUGCUUGGCAACCCAGUAACAGAUGAGGCUUCAGACAUGAAUUUUAGACCACAAUUCGCAUAUAUGAAGGGACUCAUCACCCAUGAAAUCUACGAGGUGACUUCUUUAAUCGUAUAUAUUUUUCAAAUUAAUAUUUUGUGUCUAGAUAUAAAAUCCUUUCUCUAAUGUAGGUGUCUUCAUUUUUUCCCAUGCGGAUAUACUAUUAAGUCAUAUACUUUAAUAGAGUACUAUUAAUUUUUAAGUUAAUAAGAUAAAUUUUUUUAAAGUUUAUUAUCUAAUAAAUUUAUUAAAUUAUUAAUUUUUCAUUUGACCCAAGCCAAGACUAACAAAAACUAUCUUUUAAUUGAAAUUAUCAAUUUAUCAAGUAUUAAUUUAACCAGGUUCCAUUGUAUAUGUAAAACAUAGAUUUAGCUAGUUACUAGUAACCAAUUAGUGGCGAAGCCAUGUUAGGACCUAGGGUUGGCAGAAUUCCCUAAAUCUAUUUUGAGAUUCGGGAUCCAGGCCCAUUUGAGACGAGAUUCGAAAUAAAAUUUAUCUUAGUUUACUAUUCGGAUCAGGAUUGGGACUCAAAUUUUUCCUAAAUUAUUGCUUGGUACGGGAUUCAAGAUGUUUGAAGAUCCUGAUCAGGAUCUUAAACGUCUCGAAAUCUCAGUUUCCACAGGUGCAUGACAAAUCAAUUUGAUGAAUCACAUAUAUAUAUAGAACAUAACGGUCAUAUGUUUAUAACAAAUCAUUUUAAUAAAUAAAAUAUAUAUGAUAUGUCGGUCAUAAUCGUAUGACAUGUCGUUUAUGAUAAAAACUGCAAUGUGUGGUAGAAAACUCAUGUUAUUUGGAACAAUUCAGGAUUCCAAUUGAGACGGAUCAGGAUCCAUUUUUGUCCCAAUUUACUACUUGAUAAGGGAUUUAGAACACAUUUUUUGCCCGAUUAUCUAUCAGGACAGGAUCAGUAUUGACAAAUCCUAGCCCGUUCGGGAUAAAUUUUUAACCUUACCAGGGUUGAAGUUAUGUAAAAUCCUCAAUAUUUUAGGUUCAAAUUAUAAGGAGAAAAAAAAUGGUGGGCCCUGUAGGUCUUAUUCAUCGAUAAGUAGUUGACAUCCACAUUUAUAUAAAAAUCAGACACCAAAAUUAAAAGAAGGAUAUAAAUAUAACGUAUGAUAUAUGAAUAUGAACUGCCAUGUAUUAAUUGCUUAAAAUGUGUGAGAUGCUUCUUUUAUUUUCUGUUUACAGUCAGCCAAAAGAAAUUGCAGGGGCGAGUACACGAAUGCAGAUCCAAGCAAUGGCUUAUGUAAAGCUGAUCUUCAAAAUAUAACAGCGGUAUAUAGAACAAAACUCGUUGUCAUUUUGUUCAAUUAACUAGUAUUAUAAGUACAGGUAGCAAAAUUAACUCACCCAAUUGAAUUUGUAGUGCAUUGGAAAAUUAUCUAUCCAGAACAUAUAUGAACCUCAAUGUAGUUUAGAUAUACUCAGAAGACCAGUGCAAUUCAUAUGGGAUCGCGCCAUCAUCGAAGAAGAUUCUUUUGAUUUUCUCUAUUCGCCAGUUCAAUCAGCUCCAAGCCAUUGGUGUCGGGUAAAAUUCUAUACACACCUCCAAGGCAUUGGUGUCGGGUAAAAUUCUAUACACACACACACAAUAAAUGUGCAAUAACCCAUCAAUGUAUAUAGAAUCAAUCAAUCAACUUUGAUCAAGGUAACGUAUUUCAUAUCCAAUUUUGAACGUUAAUGUCUCUUUCAGUCCUAGGGUCUGAGUUAAUUACCCUAUUAGUCCUUGAAUCUAUAAGUUAUUUGUUUUUGUAAAAUCAACUUAAUUAUACUUAACCUUUCAUAUGUUGCAUGUCAAACCAAAAAAAAAAAAAAAAAAACCUUCGCUCGUAAAAAGUUAGAUCUAACAGUUGUGGAAAUAACACUAGAAACCAACUAAUAACCAAAACUGAAAACUCAGUGGAAUAUAUAAAGGGGAAAUUACUCAAUUUUAAACGUAAGCAUAUAUAAGCAGCACUGCAGCGCACAUCUGUUUCUAAGGUUUCUUUACUUUUAUUAUUAUUGUUGUUAUUAUUGCUUUACUAUGUACUCAACAAUUAUAGUAUGAAUUGCUGAUGUUCCACUUUCAUAGAAAGAUAACUAUUUCUACUCGUACAAUUGGGCAAAUAAUAAAGCUGUGCAAAAGGCUCUGAGAGUUCGGGAGGUAUGUUAUGGUUGGUUAGAGCAUAGUCGCAACCCAAAUCAUUAAAUAUUAUUUUUACUAAUACAUUCCCAUAUGAGCAGGGGACAGUAGAAUAUUGGACGAGAUGCAAUAAAAGUUUGUCUUACACAUCUGAUGUCUCAAGUGGUGUUGAUUAUCACCGAAAGCUCACCAAGAAAGGCUAUCAAGUUUUGGUUUACAGGUAAUAAUAUAUAGACAAGUUAUUAGGAGCGUAUGUUCCAAUAUUUUAGAAUGCCAACAUUUUGAAGGAUGAAUAAAUUCAUCAAUGAUCGGGAAUGUUCAAUGAUCCGGAAUAUUUAACUAAUGAAAUGAUAGUUUGGAAUAUGCCUGAUUGCUUUUUAUACAUGAGACUUCUUCUCCUUCCUCGAAUUUUUCCACAAACGUAAUUCAAGCCUGUAUCUAAAAAGACACUUUAAUAACGCUCUGGUUAGCUCAUAUUUUAUGACUUUUUGGUAAAUCAAAUUUAGUUUUGUCUUCUUCUAGUGCAGUCAAUAGUCCCUUCUUGAUUUUUUUGACCCAUAUUUGAGUCUUAAAUUGAGUCUCAAUAUUAUGUGUCACUCAUUUACUAGAUGAUGGACGUGAAGGCUUUUAAAGUCACUUAACUAGCAUCCAAUAAAUGAAUGCUACAAUAAUUGAAACUUAAAUUUUGAGAUACCUAGUAUUGCUCUUAAAAAUUUAUCACGGAGGUGCUAUGAUGGACUAAGUUUCUAGCUAUCUCGUAGUCUACACAUUGGACUAAUUUUCUUUCACGAAUACAGCGGAGAUGUCGACAUGGUAGUUCCAUAUAUGGCUACUGAAGCAUGGAUAAAGUCAUUAAAUUUGACGAUUGAAACUGGCUGGCAGCCGUGGUUGGUGGAAAGUCAAGUUGCAGGGUUGGUUUAUUUUCAUCUCAGCUUGUUUAUCAUAUUUGGAAUAUUAACUUUAACAUUAUAUGAUAUCUCACAGUUGUUUUAAUUUCUACUAUUGAUUUCUGUAGAUAUUGGUACCGUUACAAGGGAAAGAACAAUUAUCAUUUGACAUUUGCCACAGUAAAGGCAAGAAUAAAUCAUUUUCCCUGAAAACUAUCUACCGUGAUUAAUUAGCUAAUUAAGCAGCUAAAUUAUAUAAUUAAUGACUACUAAUUGUGUAAUUAAUAUGGGUUGUGCAGGGAGCAGGUCAUAAUGGUCCAGAGUACAGGCCUAAGGAAUGUCUUGCAAUGAUCGACAGGUGGUUCGCAUCCUAUCCUCUCUAGAGCCACGUUCAUAUAAUUAUUAAGUUUUGGAGAUUGAAAAAUAAAUGUGGAGCUUAAGUGGCUGAUGGCGUUGUAAACACCCAUAAAAUUAUUUAUGUUUGGCUUUACCAAACUUAUGAUCUGAAAAACUAGUAUUGCAAGAGCCUUGAUGCUCCUAUUUGCUUUUUUAAAAACAUCGCUCCAAACUCAUUUGUGUACGGUUUUUUUUCAUCUCAACUUGGUAAUCAUAUUUGUCUUAUGAAAUAAUUAUAAUUUAUGAAUCCUGUCACACGUCUGCCAUAUAUAAAGCCUCGGGAUCAAAAACUGUGACAUGAGUAAUCGUCAGAGCCGCUUUGCAUUCAAUAAAAGUGACACAAAAAUUUAAUGGGAAUUCUAUUGAAAUUGAUUGAUUGGACAAAAUGAGAGGAGGAAAUACCUCCACGUCUACCCAUUAAUUAUAAUACAACACUGGUAGGUACUUUUUUUUUUUUUUUUUUUUUUUUGAGAAUGGUAGGUACUAAUUUCUGGUGUUCAAUACCACCAAAAAAAAAAUCGAAAAAUUUACAUCAAUAGCCAUAAAAAUUUUGGCUUUUUUCAUCUUAACUCCCCAAACAAACUUCUAUCAACAUUAGUCAUAAAAGAGUCUUUGAGACCAAAAUACCCUUCUCUCUCAUCUCCAUAAUGUUGGUGAGCUUGCCUUGGCGCAACAACUCGCCGAUUCUGUCAAGCCUUUAAAUCAGCCAUGUCGGCAGUAGAAACACGCUCCAUUUCGGAAAUGGCGUCGUCAGAGAUUUUGGACUCGGUUUCACUGACCUCGUAAUCUUCAAGACCAGAGAAGCUCGCUCUGUCUCGGACUUCCCUACGUGGGCUGCCGGAAGAGAUGAAGGCGUUGGUGAAUCUGAGAUAUUUGAAUUUGGAGGAAACAUCUAAAAUGUCUAGGAUUCCAAAGCAGUUGAUAUCCAGCAUUUCGAAGUUACAGGUACUCAGGAUGCUCAAAUGCAGUGGAAGCGUUCUAUCUGACGAUGCAGAACCUUUGAUGAAGGAACUGCUCUGUUUGGAACAUUUGGAUGUUAUCAGCUUGACAUUAGAUUGUUCACGUGCCAAUGUCAUCCCAAUUCUUUUCAAGUAUCGAAAGCUGGUGAGCGUUACUCAAUCUCUGGAGAUUAGUUCCUUCUGGUUUAGUCCAAGGCUCAAUGCCUCAGAUCUAGCAAAUCUGGCUAGCAUGGAAAAGCUUGGGGAGUUGAAUUUUAUGUUGUGUAAUUUUGAAGAGUUUAAGAGCACAGGAGAUGUAGAGAAAGUUCUUCAAAGUCGUUUCCGCAGUCUUCGCAAAAUUGUAAUAAAUGGGUGCGAAGUGAAGGACUUGACGUGGCUUGUUUUUGUUCCAAACCUCUAGCAGCUACAUAUAAGUUUGGUUUAGAAGAAUUGAAGAGCAUCUGUUGGAGCCCGUUGCCUGGAAGUGUUGGUGCGACAGGCGCCUGUCGCACCAAGGCCAUUUGGUGACCACUUGGUGCGACAUGCCGUUUCUUCUUCUUGCUUUCACCUUCUUGAUUUCUCACCCUCGGAACAAAAGACACUAACGAUAUACUUUUAGUUAACACAUUAUUCUUGCGACUGCCAAACAACAAAGUUGACAAAGAAUGCUUUCCCUGAUGAUCCGUAGUAGUAACGCGAUACUUAUUAUACACUGGAGAAGAACAAGAAGAAGCCUCAGAAGAAAAAUAGUAAGACGAUAACGAUGAGGAAGAAGAAUAAGCAAUUCUAAGAAAAAAAAUUGGGGUGUAAUCGUAUGAGAUAUAAGCAGUGUGAAAACUAUAAUAUGGACAUUUAACGGCUUACAUCACCUUUUACAAUUUGUUAAAAAGAUUGAAUUCAGAACGCAAAAGCAACCCUGGUAAAAGCAAUAAUAAUGACGAUGAUGGGAGUUUGUUCGAUUUGGGAGAGAUGUGAGAAAGAGAGUGUUGGGGGAGAGAUGAGAAAGAGGGGUAUUUUGGUCUCAAAUGUUCUUUUAUGGCUAAUGUUGAUAGAAAUUUGUUUGGGGGGUUAAGAUAGAAAAAGCUAAAAUUUUUAUGGCUAUUGGUGUAAAUUUCCCAAAAAAACCUCGGUUUCUAGGUGGAAUAAUUAAUAACAUAAGACUCUUUCACAAGAUUAUAUAAGAUAUGAAUUACCAAAAAGACAAAUUCAUAUUUCACUUGUGAUAAGUGUAAUGAAUGCCGUACCUUUCUCAGUCUUCAUCAGUUCAUUGAGCAUUAUGGCAGCAUUGCAAUUAUUUUACCUUUUCGUUGUCUCUAGCGUUGUUGCAUCACGCCAAAUAAUCAGAACCCUACCGGGCUUUGAUGGUGAUCUCGCAUUCAAACUAGAAACUGGGUAAGAAUUCCAGCUAGAGCAUGUUGUUUAGCUCUAGCUAAUUAAUUUAACGCUGUAUUAAUUAUUUGCAGGUAUAUUGGUGUGGGAGAUAAUGAUGAUGUGCAGCUGUUUUACUACUUUAUUAAAUCCGAGAGGAGUCCUGAAGAUGACCCUCUUGUGCUUUGGCUCACCGGCGGCCCUGGCUGUUCUGGAUUUUCUGGCCUUGUCUUUGACAUUGGUAUGAGAAUAAUAUCCAUUUAUUCCGCUAAUUAUCGUUGUCUUUACUCUUUUAAUAACAUUUUUGAAGAGAAUCUAAUUUUAUAAGUUUCCAUUACCAUUAAAAGAUCAUGGACGAAAUGUUUCCUUUUUCAUUUUUAAAUCAUACUAUUCAAUUAAUGUAGGUCCAUUGUCAUUUGACUAUGAAAAUUCCAAGGUAAACUCACCCAAGUUUUUGUUGAACCCAUACUCGUGGACAAAGGUACGACAUAGUUUCUCUUUGUUCUUCUAUUUUGUAAAUGGUAAGUUUAAUUAAUAAUUAGAACAGGGUUUGCAUCAGAGAUCUUUCUUAAAGCUGAAGUGAGCUUUGUUAGUGCCUCAGGGCUCCGGCUCGACAUCAUUCUAUUCAAAGUAUUUAUAUUUUGGCCCCUUACGAUAUAUUAUUUUAUGUUUUGGCGAUUUCAGUUUUACUUAUUUGCAAUGUGCCUCCCAAUUUUAGAUGUAAAUUCUAUUAGUUUGGCUACAAUUAUGUCUCUUUUUGUCACGGCUCCUCUCCCGACUGAGACUUGAGAGAGUUGUCAAUUAUUUUACAGGUUGCCAACGUUAUAUUCUUAGAUGCACCUGUAGGUACAAGAUUCUCAUACGCCAAUACUUAGGCAAGGAUACAUCAUGAAUGAUGCACUUUCAGCAGCACAAAACUAUUAUUUUUUAAGAAAAGUGAGGACAAAAAAUUGCUAUUCGUACGGAUUAACAAAUAUAUAUAAUAACAAACGAACAAAGAUUAAAAAAUUAAUAGAUUUUAAAUUUUUUUUUGAAUUUUUAUGAUUUGUUGUGAUUUUGUAUUUGUGGUUUUGUUUGUUGCUUAAAUGCUGUUGGAAACUUGGAAUAUUACCUAGUUCUAGAUGACAUUUUCAAAAAAUUUAAGGCUUCAUGAAACUCUUGGCACUCUAUAAUAAAACUUCUCUAUAAUUAUACUCUAUAUAAAAAUAAUUCUCUAUAGUUUGAAGAGGGAUAUUGCUAAUUUUUUUUACUAAAAUUAACUAUACCAUUUAUCUCUUAUUGCUUUCAUAAUAGCUAAUAACCUUCCUAACAACAUAAUUUUAUAGUAUUAUCAUUAUUUUCAAAUACAUUUUUAAUUAUAUUUAUUAUAAGAAAGUGUUUAUAAAAUAACAAAAAGUACAAGAAUCUUAUUAUUAAUUUUUAUUCACAUCGAGACAUAUAUUUGUUGUUUUUAGUACUUAAAUAAUUUUAUUUUAAUUUUUAUUUAUAUGAUUUAUUUAAUUUAUAAUAAAUAUAGAUAAAAAGUGUAUUUAAAAAUAAGAGUUGGAAAAUUGAUAAGCCUUGUUAUUUUGAAGGCCAUAUGAUUUAUGCCGGAAGCAGAAGAAGUGCUCUCGGGAGAUAUUUUUAGUAUUGCUAUCAGACAUUGGAAAAUUGAUAUUGAUUGCGAUUUUGAAGAAUAUUUGUAUUGAUUCUCUAAAUAAGAAUCCAUUAAUUGGUUUAGUUACGUUUCUGAUUGGAAAUGAAAUAUAAGGUGUACGAAUGAAUUUUAAUUUUGAAUUGUAGAAGCCGAAAUAUGCAGUCCAUGAAUUUUAAUUUGCUUUGUUAAAGUGUAGCAUUUGAGACCAAAUUUUUUAGCAGAACUUUAAUUCUUAGGGCCAAGGACCCAAUAAGCCUCAACAUAUACUGCCCCCAUGCUUCCCGUGUUGCUUUUGGUAACUACGAAAGGGAGUAUUGAUAGCUACAUAAUUUCUAAUACAUUAAGACAUGGUUUUAUUUGUCCUUGACCAUACAAGUUAGUCCCUGUCCCCUAUUAAAUUGACCAACCUACCAAUAGAGUACUGAAUCUAAAUUUUGAUCAUCACAAUAUAUAGUGAAAAAAGAAUAUUUCGGUAAUUUACUAUAGGAGUUGGGAGUCUAUUUGAUCAAUCAAAAAACAUUUUCUUAAAUACUUGAUGCUACCGUCCAAAAUUGCAGCCCAAAUUUGCCUUAGAUGCUACCGUUACCCAAAAUAAAAUCAAAAUAGGAGCCAGCGCAGUAUAAAUUUACAGAAUCAUUGAUUUCUUAAGCCAUGUAUUGCUUCACACUUUUUAGAAUCCAAUUUCUUCAAUCUCAAAUUGUCCCAGUUAAUUAAUUAUUGACCAUGAAAAGCAAGGAAAAAAAGAAAACCACAUUCAUGCAAAUUAUGUCAUCACCUGUCUUGCUUCUAAGGAAUGCUAGGGAUUCUUACAUCAACAGCUUCAAUGGCUGUGCCAAUGACGUUGGACGAGGCGGCGCGGUGGUCUGUCCGGUUCCACAUGUGUUGAGUACAUAAAAGCACCAGGUCGGCCAUGCUACUAUUUCCGCCCCGGCACGGAUCGCUUCAGCCAAAGUGAUAUGAGCAGAACACGUGGGCUAACAUGAGCCGACCAGAGAUGAAUACAACCAGGGAAAAAUACCGACCAGAGGUAUAUACCGAGCGGGCACUCAUCCCCAGAGAAGCGAGAACACGAUCCCACAGAAUCGUGGUAGUUGCGCUUUUCCCAAAACCGUUGAAGGACACGCGAGAUCCACGUUUGCCCACAAUGUAACAAUUAGAGUCCCAUGAGGGGCUGCCACUACCUGAAAAAGGUGGGAUGAAUGGCAAACGGAAACGUGGGGAUAACGGCUAUAAAAGAAGAAGAAAUCGAUGAAGAAAAGGAAGAAAAACUGAGAGAGGGAAAACGCUGCCAAAUUGCAACCAGGCCAUUUCCUUACAAAUUUCUAACAAACUUCUUGAAUCCAAAUUACAUUGUUUUCCCGUAAAUACCUUGUGCUAACUUAGGCAUCGGAGGGUUUACGCCGGCAAAACCACCGGCGUCUUUGACCCAUUUUUGUGAACGCAGGUCUAGUGAGAGAAAUGAGGGUGAUACCAGCCUUAGUGGUUCGAACAAACAGUCGAUAAUACAAACGUUGGUGAAAGAAUCUGGUCGGUCCAAGGGCGAGCAGAUUUCAGCAUCAACAUUUUGGCGCCGUCUAUGGGGAGCUGGAUAAAAAGCUACCACCGAAUCAGUAAUUACCGGAGAAACAGCGAACGAUUGUUAUGGAUGUGCCGAGAAAGGAUGCUUUGAGGGAGGAUAACGAAACUGUGGAGACAAUUACUCUCCGGAAAAUUACAAACGAAGCCCGGGAGAGGAUGAUGCAAGACCGAUUGGAACGGAUGGAGAAACAAAUGGAGACUCUCGCGACCAUACUGUAUGAGCUGAGGGAUGAGCGGAGAAAGGAUUGUGAAACCCCCGUGGGGAGAGAUGAUGUUGGAGCAGAGCCCAGCUUCCGGAGGCGUAGAGUUGAGGAAAUCCCUCCGCCGGUAGACCAACUUGAUGGGGUGCAUCCCCACAGAAGCACUAGUCGGGUUUUAGGAGAACGAGUAGAUGAAAGAAGGGACCAACCUCGCCCCGGAUGGGUACCGGAGAUUGAUGGCCGAGGGGCCAGUAUUGAUGAAGGAGAGCUCAGACAGCGGUUGCAAAACCCCGAGCAGGAACGAGCUCAGAUAGCUGCGCGUGAUCCUGACCGUGCUAUAGAAUUGGAGGAAGAAGUGUGCAAAUUAGCGCAAGUGAUAGAGGAGAUACAGGGCAAGAAAAAGCCCCUGAGCUGGAGGAUAAUGCUAGAUGAAGAAUCUCCAUUAUCAGCUGUGAUCAUGGGUACCAUAAUCCCAAGAGAUUUCCGCUUCCCCGACCUCAAAUACUCCGGGCGAAGUGAUCCACUGGUGCAUAUUGAACGUUUCAACGACGUGACGGGCGUGCAAGGGUUAACACCAGCCCAGAGAUGUAGGGUGUUACCAUUGACACUGGAAGGACGAGACCGAGAAUGGUACCGCAAGCUGACACGAGGAAGUAUCAGAGGGUACGAGUAGAUGUGCCAAGAGUUGGCCGAACAGUUCCGAGGAGCAGUGGCCCCAGAGGAUGAUAUGAUGGAGCUAAUAGGAAUGAAGCAGGAGGAACAAGAAUCCCUUCGGGAUUUUGUAAAACGAUAUCACCGAGCCGUGCUUGAUUUGGGAGCUUUCAAUCACCCGCAGGCGUUGAGGGGAUUAAAGGAGGGAGUGAGGAUAGGCCGGCUAUGGUAUAACCUGAGAAGUCCCUUGGUACAGAAUUACUCAGCGGGGUAUGAGCAGGCAAAGAGAGACAUUGAAAUCGAAGAGGAAAAGUCGGCGAUGAUAAAAAGUGAACAGCUGAAGGAGCUGAGAAGAAAGGAAAGGAGAACCCCGAGUGGGAGCGGAUCGGGAAAGCGAGUUGGGGAAUCUUCAGCUAAGGGCGGAAUAUCAGCUCGGUCCCGCCCUUACCCUGUAGCUUUGAGACCGCAAUAGUUCCAACACAGCCGAGCCCAACCUCCUCGUACUUCAUUCCCGGAGCGGCAACGAGAAUUCAGGCAAAUGGCUGCCCGCCCUUAUCACAACGCUCCCAGACCGUUACAUACAAGUGGUUCCAGGGUAGGAAGACCAGACCAGCUAGCGACUAUACCAGCCUGAGAUGACAUUCAGGAUAGCCGAGCAGUUCAACUGAUAGACCAGAGCUUGGCAUAUAGACAGUACACUCCAUUGAAGAUCUCCAUGGAGGAAUUGUAUGAGAGGAUCGAAGGACGAGGCCUGCUGUACCCUCCAGCCCCUAUAACAAAACCGGCUCACCGACGGGAUAAUAACAGAUUCUGCAAGUUCCACGACACUCAUGGUCACACAAUCGACCAAUGUCGUGACCUGAAGAUUCAGGUGGAGGACUUAGUACGGAACCGGUACUUGGAUGAGUAUGUAGAGGGGGUGUCCCUGAUCAUCGAAUCACAGUAUACACGGGAUGAAGAAGUUCAGAGGGGUCUGGGAGGUGAACAGCCGACCAUCCAUGUGAUAGCUGGGGGGCCAACAUUGGCCGGGGAUUCGAACAGGGCACGGAAGAACUAUGAGAGAUAUGCCCUGACUAGCAAAGAAGUGCUUUUCAAUUUGCCGGCAACCAAGAAGGCAAAAGUGCGGCAAGUUCCCAUUAUGUGGACAGAUGACGAUGAAGAGGGUAUCUUAUAUCCGCAUAAAGAUGCACUGGUGAUCAAGGCAAUGGUGGCUGGUGCAGAAUUGUGACGAGUACUAGUAGACACAGGCAGCUCGGUUGACAUCCUGUUUAAGUCGGCUCUAGAUGAUAUGGGGAUUGCAGACUUGAAAUUAGAGCGGACAAAUACAUCCUUAAAGGGAUUUGGAGUGGGACGGUUAACUCCCAUGGGGAUCAUCGAACUCCCAAUUACUAUGGGGACGAAGCCAUUUGAAAGAACAAUGAUGUUGGAUUUUGUCGUGGUAGAAGAAAGAAGCCCUUACCAGAUGAUACUGGGGAGACCAUUCAUGAGGAUAAGUCAAUGCGUUGUAUCCACGCAUUACUUGGCACUGAAAUACAGAGUAAAUAGGGUGGUUGGCGUUGUAAAAGGCGACCAGAGGAUGACAAUGAGUUGUUAUGCUACAGCGGCCAAGGAGACACUGCAGGUUACUUCUCUAGAUAAUCGAGGAGAGUCCAAAAAGGGCCGCCAAGAGCCUGUUGAGAAACUGAAAGAAGUUGCGGUAAGCAAAAGCAACCCGAGCAGAAUAGUGAAGAUCGGGUCAGGAUUGGUUGGGGCAGUAAAAAGCGAGCUGAUAAAUUGCCUACAGUCUCAUGCGGAUAUAUUCGCCUGGUCUCAUGAAGAUAUGCCCGGAAUUGAUCGCGGGGUAGCUUGCCACAAGUUGGCAAUCAAGAAGGGGGCAAGGCCGGUGAGACAGAAGAUGAGAUGCUUCAACUAGGAAAGGUACGAGGCCAUAAAUGCCGAGGUGGAAAAGCUGUUGAAAGUAGGGGUGGGCAAAAAAAGCUGAUUAAUUAAAAAUCGAACCGAACCGAUCGGUUCGGUUCAGUUUUUUUGCGGUUUUUUUAUAACCAAAAAACCGAAAUAGUAAUAUUAAAAAAAUAGUAAAACCAAUCGGUUCGGUUUUCGGUUUUAAAAGAAAAACCGCAAAACCGAACUGAAAUCUCAAAUAAACCGAUUGUUUUGAAAGCUAAAGCUAAAACCCAAAAGCCUAAAAUCUAAAUCUAAACUUUUGACUUCUGUCUUCUUCGGUUCCCGACUUCCCGCUGGCCGCUGCUCGUCGUGACUUCUUCUGUUCCCGCUGGCCGUGCGGCAUCCUUCGCUGUAAUUUUUGUGAUCGUGCGGCAUCCCUCGCUGUAAUUUUUGCUUCUGCUAACCUUGUUACUGUCUCAACUGCACUCUUUUCAACAGAGUUGAAAUCAUUCUGCUUUUUGGCCUCCGUUGUCUGCACCCAGACCUUUACAAAUUGACCUUGUUGAUUGAUUGCUUUUGCUUGGGAAAUCACAGAGAAGAUGCAACACAUCAGGUGGGAUGCACUUUCCUUCUUGGGCAUAUUAAAAAAUUAAUUUUAACUUUUUUCUUUAAACCAAAAAAGAAAAAGAAAAAUUAUUAUCCAUAUGUCAUCAUCAUCAAUUGGAAUUGGUCAUAAUUUGGGACCACCAUGUUUGUGCUGCCAUGUCAAAUUUUUCUGCAGUUCUCUUUUUCAUUUUUUUAUAAUAUAUAAUCUCGAUUUUUGUAGAUAGUUUAUGUAAUAAUUAAUAUAUAUAUUCUUGGUUGGCCAAAAUGAAUACAAAUGCAAUUAAUGAAUGAAGAAGUUAUUCAUAAAGCAUCAUUUAUUUAUUUGUUCAUUGCGGUUAAGUUGUAUGCGAUCUAUUUGGUUGUUGGUUACAACCAGUUAAAUAUUUAUUUAAAAAUAAAAUAUAACCUGUUAAUUAAGAUGAAUGUUGUAAUAUGAAGUCUCUUAAUUUUGUAAAAUGUGCGUGGUUAUUCAAUAAUUUUGUAAAAUGGUAGAUUUAUUAAUUUAAAGUUUUAAAUUUAAAAAAGCCCAAAAUAGGCCCAAUAGGCCCAUAAUCGAAAUAAUCGAACCGAAUCGAAUCGAAUUAUUUCAAUUAAUCGAGUAUUUGAUUAUUUCGGUAAUUUGAUUAAUCGCGAUUAUGAUUUUAAAAUAAUCGUAAUCGAACGAUUAUGAAAAAUUUAGUAAAAAACCGAACCGAACCGAACCGCGCCCACCUCUAGUUGAAAGCAGGAUUUAUAAGGGAAGCCAAGUACCCAGAAUGGAUUUCAAAUGUAGUCCUGGUAAAAAAGGCCAACGGGAAGUGGAGAAUGUGUGUGAACUUCACGGACCUCAAUAAGGCAUGCUCAAAGGACAACUUUCCCCUACCCAAAAUAGAUCAGCUGGUGGACUCAACAGCAUGUCACAGUCUGCUCAGUUUCAUGGAUGCCUUUUCUGGAUACAACCAGAUACCCAUGGACGAGCAUGAUGAGGAAAGCACUGCCUUUAUAACUAACAUGGGUUUGUUUUGCUACAUGGUAAUGCCUUUUGGCCUAAAAAAUGCAGGAGCCACCUAUCAAAUGUUGGUAACCAAUAUCUUCAAACCGCUGAUUGGACACACUAUGGAGGUAUAUGUGGAUGAUAUGAUUACAAAGUCCAAAGAGCCGAGGGAUCAUGUGAAGCAUCUAGAAGAGACCUUUGAAUUACUGAGGAAGUAUGAGAUGAAACUAAACCCGGAGAAAUGUGCAUUUGGGGUUAGCUCGGGCAAAUUUCUGGGAUUCCUGGUAAGCCACCGAGGGAUUGAGGCCAACCCCGAAAAAAUACGAGCGGUUACAGAUAUGAGAUCUCCACGGACAGUUAAAGAGGUGCAGAGCCUUACAGGGAAGUUGGCAGCAUUGAACCGAUUCAUCUCGCGGGCCACAGAUAAAUGCCACACUUUCUUCCAAAUCAUAAAGAAAAGGAGAAAGAUGGAAUGGACAUCAGAGUGCGAGGAAGCAUUUGGGCAGCUGAAGGAAUAUCUGGCCCGUGCACCGUUACUAUCAACUCCGAGAGAGGGUGACCAGCUGCUUUUGUACUUGGCAAUCUCCAAGCGGGCUACCAGCUCGGUCUUAGUCAGGGAAGAAGAAGGGAAGCAACACCUGGUAUACUACACGAGCAAGGCCCUGGUGAACGCAGAAAUCAGAUAUCCACUAAUGGAGAAGUGGGCGCUGGCUCUGAUAACGGCAGCACGCAAACUCCGACCAUAUUUCCAAGCCCACCAGAUCGUUGUGAUGACUGACCAGCCCCUUCGGCAAGUGCUUCAAAAAUCAGAUGCGUCUGGUCGGUUAGUAAAAUGGUCUGUGGAGCUGAGCGAAUUUGACCUGUCCUACAGGCCCCAAGGAGCAAUCAAGGCCCAAGCCCUAGUAGAAUUUAUGGUAGACCGAGCUGAACCAGUGGAAGGAGAUCGGGAGGAGUAACAGUUAGAGCAUGAGAAAACAAAGGGGAUGUGGUUGGUAAUGGUUGACGGAUCAUGUAGUGAGCAAGGAUCCAGAGCAGGGGUUGUAAUACGGAGCCCAGAAGGAUCCGAAAUAACGUAUGCAGUGAAGUUCGAAUUUCAGCUCACAAACAACCAAGCUGAAUAUGAAGCCUUUAUCACCGGGCUCGGACUCGCACACGCCUUAAAAGCAGAGAUGGUAGAAAUCCGAACAGAUUCCCAAUUGGUAUGUAAUCAGCUCAAUGAUCAGUUCCAAGCAAGGGGAGAGAAGAUGGGCCUUUAUUUGAAGAAGGCGAAGUAGAUGGUCGGACUUUUUCAAGAGGUGGAGGUAAAGUAGAUAUCCCGGAAUGAGAAUUACCGAGCGGAUAUGCUGGCUAGGAUGGCUGCAAUUGCAGACCCGAAAUUACCUAAGUCGGUCCCACUAGAGGUAAGGAACUCGCCGAGCAUAGGGGAGGAAGUGGAGGUGAUGAGAGUAAGCACUGAAGAAUCCUGAAUGGACCCGAUUCGCGCGUAUGUCCGCGACGGAGUUUUGCCUGAGGACAAAAGGCAAGCGAGAAAGUUAAAAUACCGAGCAACGAGGUACACGUUAUUAGAUGAAGUGCUGUAUCGCCGAGGGUUCACCUUGCCCCUUUUGCGAUGUGUGGAUGAUGAGGAGGCAGAUUAUAUACUAAGGGAGAUUCAUGAAGGAAUUUGCGGCAAUCACUCGGGAGCAAGAACUUUAGCCUUUAAGGUACUCCGUCAAGGGUACUUCUGGCCAACCAUGCACCAGGAUGCAAAAAAGAUGGCAAAAAACUGUAAAAUGUGCCAAAGCUUCUCUGAGGUCCCCACACAACCCCCAGAAAAGCUAACCAUUAUGACAUCCCCAUGGCCUUUUGCACAAUGGGGAAUCGACCUGAUUGGUCCGUUACCGAAAGGGCGAGGAGCGGCAACCCAUGCAAUUGUAGCAGUAGACUACUUCACCAAGUGGAUAGAGAUGGGGGUCCUUAGCCAAAUCACAGAGAGAAAGACAACGGAUUUUAUCUGGAAGAAUAUCAUCUGCAGAUACAGAAUUCCUUAUACCAUCAUUACCGAUAAUGGGAAGCAGUUUGACAACAACAACUUCAGAGAGUUUUGCCGAAACCUAGGGGUGGAUUUGAAGUUCUGCACCCCCGCACACCCCUAGGCAAACGGACAAGUGGAAGCAGCCAAUAAAAUGGUAAAGAAACUCCUGAAGACUAGACUGGGAGAGAAGAAAGGAGCUUGGGUUGACGAGCUACCAGGGGUAUUGUGGGCUUACCGGACGACUCACAAAACCGCUACAGGGGAAACCCCGUUUGCCUUAGCUUUUGGUCAUGAGGCGGUAGUCCCAGCAGAAAUUGGAGUAGGAACACAUCGGACGAAAUACUUCAAUGAGGAGCAAAAUGGCGAGCAGAUCUGCUUGAGCUUGGACCUGCUGGAGGAGAAAAGGGAAGGGGCUUCGCAGAAAAUGGCCUAGUGUCAGCAAAGGGUCACGCGUUAUUACAACAAGAACGUACGCGUGAGGCAGUUCCGAACAGAAGAUUGGGUGCUCAGGAAGGUGAGCCAAAACACCAGGGAUCCCAACCAUGGAGCUCUUGGUCCGAAAUGGGAAGGCCCGUACAGGGUGAUACGAGCAACUGGACCAGGAGCCUACAAGCUGGCGUAUCCAGACGGACGAAAGGUGAAGAGGUCGUGGAACGUGGAGCACUUGAAAAAGUACUUCCAGUAAGCAAAGUGCUCUACUAGUUUUCAUUUUGAUAAGUUAUUUCUGUUAUGAGCAAUGUGAUUUGUGACACACACAUAUAUCCCAUACUUCUGUAACGCAUUCGAAAUUCAAUAAAGAUGAAUUCAGUAUGGAACCCUUCUGCUAGUAAGCCCAUUAAAUGCUUACUAAUGCAAGAAAGUGCAUGUUUCUGCUCGGUCAACGAAAGACCAACAGCUAAAGCUUCGAAAAAUCUAUUAAGGCAACAAAGUGCCUGUUUCUGCUCGGUCAACGAAAGACCAGCAGCUAAGCUUUGAAAAAUCUACUAAGGCAACAAAGUGCCUGUUUCUGCUCGGUCAACGAAAGACCAGCAGCUAAAGCUUCGAAAAGUCUACUAAGGCAACAAAGUGCCUGUUUCUGCUCGGUCAACGAAAGACCAGCAGCUAAAGCUUCGAAAAAUCUACUAAGGCAACAAAGUGCCUACUUCUGCUCGGUCAACGAAAAACCAGCAGCUAAAUUUACGAACUUUUACUAAGGCAAGUAAGUGUCUGCUCCUGCUCGGUCACCGAAGACCAGCAAGCGAUUUUGCGAAAAUUUUACUAAGGCAAACGGAUGCCUAUUCCUGUUCGAUGCACUAAAGAACCAACAGGCAAAACCAGAAAAGAAAGCCAAUAGAGAGCAUUCAAAUAAUUUUUUAUAAGCGUUCAAAUGUUUACAAAGCAAGUGAAAAACUAGAGUCUUUACAAAAAUAGACCUAAGGAUUAGGAGGAUCAACGACCUCAGCAGGUGAAGGGUCAGCUAUUUCGGGAGGUGGAAGGUCAGCAAUAUCGGAGGGAGGAGGCACGGACCCCUGUCCCACUUCAAAAACACGCUGCCCAGCUUCUCCCUCAUACACCCCAUCCAAAGGAGCCUCUACCUGGUCCUGCUCACCCUGCUCCUUAUCUGCUUGGUCGACAUCUGCCAUAUACCGCUGCACUCCGGCCUCCAGCUUGCUCAUGUCCAGCUCGGGAUAUUCUGUCUUAAGCACAGACAUGAUGCACUUGUAGGAGAAGGCAACCCCAGAAUCAUACUCGGCAUCCAGCCGAUCAUCCACAUCAGCAGAUUUGCCUUUCUCCUCAGCCAGCUGCUCACCCAAGGAUUUUAUUUCCCCCUCAACGGCGGUCCUCAAAGUAUCCCUUUCAGUUUGAGUAGCCUGAAGAUCAGAUCUCAGGUCACCCAACUCGCCCUCAAGUUUGGAGGAAGUGGAUUCAGCAACCGCAACUUUCUCCUCUAGCUCCGUGAUCUGCUUAUUCAGCUCAGCCAGCUUCUCCUUGGAGCGAUCAGCAGAGUCAGCUUUCUUCUUCAAUUCCUGGUUGUCAGCCUGGAGCUUCCUCUCAUGGCGCGCGGACCCAAUCUUGUAGCACGAAACUAUGGUUGCCAGCCUGAAGGACACUCUCUGAACAGAAGCAGCUAGCUCGGAGAGGUUCAUACUCUCGAUGUCCUUCACCAUCUUGGGCCCCACCGAUCUCUUGUAAUCCUUUUGAUACGAGCUCAGGUAGUCCGCUUGAUCCCGAGAUGGUAGAGGAGAAGAUCGGUCCCCAGAUGGGUAGCUGACCUCAGGACUUUUGUCAGAAGUUUUCUCCCCGCCACUCUUACGGGGUGGAGGAGGGGGCAGAGCAGGGACAGGAGCCUUGGAAGGGCCGACACUGGUUUUCUUUGGAGGAGGAGGGGGGUUGCUGGAGCUGCUUGGAGCCCGACCACGCUUCCUGCUCAUCGCGCUGAGGAUCGUGUUAUCCAUUCCAGCGGCUAGGUCUUCUAGGCCCGAACCGACCAGGCUUGUUGGUGACAGGAGGUCCUGGCAGGUAGACGCGUUCAACAGAGCAGUUUCCACCUGAAGCAAAGGUCGAUCUUCAAGCCCCCCGAUUAAACCCCACGACUCUGAAAUAGCAAAAGAGGUUAAAGAACUCGAUAAGUGACAAUUUGAGUAAGAGCAUAGGCAAAAAUGAACGACCUGGGGUGACAAAAUGUGUGGGAAGAUAAAUGUCCCCACCAAGCGAUCGAACCGCUGGACACCAGUUCCCCCCGGCAAAGAAGAAUUUGUUCUUCUAAUUUUUACAUGAAGAGGGAAACCCAGUGAUCGGUUUCCUCUUUGCAGAACUGGACAUAAAGUAGUACCAGCCCGCUUCCCUCGGGCUACUCCGUAGCUGGUACAGAUGUUUCACUUCAACAAGGGAAGGCUCCUCCGACCCGCACCUCUCCCAUAACACAAACAUUGCCGAGAGAACCCUCCAGCCAUUUGGGUGUAGUUGACUUGGGGCCAGGUGCAUACCGCCCAGUAUCUUGGCAAAAUAACGUUGAAGGGGCAGCCGAACUCUUAGUCUGAAACUCUCCAAAUGCAUCGUCACAUGCCCUUUCGGAGGCCGACUAGGGAUAUCACCUUUUCCAGGAACUACAAGAAGAACAUCGUUGGGGAUGUUGUAGAGGUUCCUAAGCUUAAAUAGAUCAGUGGGGGUGGUGGCACAAGCUAUGAAAUCAAUAGGGUAGGAAUCAGCCUCCACCCUAUGGCCAAGAUGCCUUUUCUUAGCAGGUCCGCUCGGUCCGGAACUGCUCCCCUCACCAUCACCAGCUCCCUCAGGGAUCCCAACCCCACUAAAGCUGUGGUUCUCACCAGAGCCCGACGCAGGUCCACCUCUAUUCCCUACAAGCUCUAGUUCGGGGGAAGGAGAGACAACCAAGGGUCGUGGGUACUCGAGGGUACCCCUGCCAUGGGAAGGACCUACGCUACUGGAGGGGCCUAAGAAAUUUGUGGGUAUUGACACGUUGAGGCCUGAAUCCCCUGAUUCUUCAUCACUUUCAUCAACAAUUAACUUUCUUUUCCGGUUUGACAUAUCGGAAUCCCAAAAGAAAACAAGGAAAACUCGAAUAUACGGAUACAAAAUGGGGCAACACGAAACCCAAUCAACAACAACCAGAGAAGGGAUUAAAAGCAGUACCUGAAAUGAAUUGGCCCUGAUAGCGCUGCCGUGACAGAGAAAAAACCAGCAAGUAGAGACUCCGGACGCAGGGAAUGUGAGUAAAGUUCAGAAAGGGGGGAGGUUAACGACGGAGAGACGAAUAACACGGAGAGACGAAUAACAAAACAAUGACAAUGUAAGUCUAGGGAUUUGAAACGAAAAAGGGGAAAUGAAAGCAUUUAAGUGAUGGGGAUGCCAGCUCACUCACCAAAUAUCGAGGACAGAUAGCCCGUCGUUUCAAAUUUCAAAUAUAAAGAAUCUGGAGGUGCCACAUCACCAACCGUUACAAGGGGCCAAGAUAGACGUAAGCCCAGAUAUGCAAUAAACAUGCUCAUUUAGGCCCAUACUCAGGUCGGAAUCUCCCCAAAAGAAAAAUGGUACCUCAGGUCCGCCCCAGCAAACAAAAGACCAGAUUAGAAGCUCCCCGGGUUGGUGAGAUUUGACCAUUAGUUUCUACUCUUCACUCAUUUCACUCGCCAGACCAGAAACUGGGGGACUGGUGUUGAGUACAUAAAAGCACCAGGUCGGCCAUGCUAUUAUUUCCGCCCCGGCACGGAUCGCUUCAGCCAAAGUGAUAUGAGCAGAACACGUGGGCUAACAUGAGCCGACCAGAGAUGAAUACAACCAGGGAAAAAUACCGACCAGAGGUAUAUACCGAGCGGACACUCAUCCCUAGAGAAGCGGGAACACGAUCCCACAGAAUUGCAGUAGUUGCGCUUUUCCCAGAACCGUUGAAGGACACGCGAGAUCCACGUUUGCCCACAAUGUAACAGUUAGAGUCCCAUGAGAGGCUGCCACUACCCGAAAAAGGUGGGAUGAAUGGCAAACGGAAACGUGGGGACAGCGGCUAUAAAAGAAGAAGAAAUCGAUGAAGAAAAUGGGGAAAAACUUAGAGAGGGAAAACGCUGCCAAAUUGCAACCAGGCCAUUUCCUUACAAAUUUCUAACAAACUUCUUGAAUCCAAAUUACAUUGUUUUCCCGUAAAUACCUUGUGCUAACUUAGGCAUCGGAGGGUUUACGCCGGCAAAACCACCGGCGUCUUUGACCCAUUUUUUUGAACGCAGGUCUAGUGAGAGAAAGGAGGGUGAUACCAGCCUUAGUGGUUCGAACAAACAGUCGAUAAUACAAACGUUGGUGAAAGAAUCUGGUCGGUCCAAGGGCGAGCAGAUUUCAGCAUCAACAAUAUGUUUCCCAUGUGCCCAAGAAUUUCAGUUAUGGCAGCUCCAAGUCAAGGGAUGACGAAAAGCUUAGAGAUAUGUUAAGACAGGCGACGUGUAAGCGGAUUAUUGGCCGGGAGGUGGGGCUGAAUCUACAGCGCCAAACGGAGGUGAUUGAGGCUACUACUAUGCGAAAGAGUUACAGUGUUGGCGUUGGAAAGAUAGGGAGAAUUGAUGAAGAUAAGGCUUGUUCCUUUGAGGAGAAUUUGUUGUACCCAAGGAGCAAAAGCCAUGCCAUUGGAAAUGUUUGCAUCGUUAAUUAGUUAGUGAAAUACUACUACAUUUAAUAUGCUAGUUACAGUUGAGAUUAAGGGUAAAAUUGCUUCAUUGUUUGUGUAUUAAUACAUUAUAUAUAAAAUGGUCACUCAUUUGGUGAUGUUCGUUAUGAAUCUUUGAACUUUUCAAAGUGAAACAAGUUCCGAAAUUUAGGCCAAUUCCCUUAAUUGGUUAUUGCAAUUUUUACAAUCAAUCAAAAUUAUUAAAUUUAUGCUGAUUGGACCAUUUCUGUUUCAUUUUCAAUCACUUGUUUAAAUUAAAUCUUUCGAUCGUGGUGGCCAUCAAGGGUAUAAAACGUAAUAUGUUGCAGAAUCCAAAUGUUUUCAACCCAUAGAAACACUUGUGGAAGUUUAUCAGACAUUACUAUUAUUAACAUUUAAAUCACUUAUUAGUUAAAACUAUUAACAAUUACGAUCGAUGUUGAUAUAUUGUAUAAUAACUAAUAGUAAUCCCUCGAAUUAGUUUAGUCUUCCUUGUUACCCUGCCUCUCAAACAUUGCAUACUUGUUCAGUUAUCUUAAUGUACGUGGUAGAUUUGGAGGCAUGCAUGGAUCGCUUUUGGAUGGCUCAAUUCAAAAGAAUCUUGAAGUUAAUUUUAUUUUUCAAAAUUGUCACAUACAUACAAUUUGAAACUUAUUAAAAGCCUAAAUACAUAUAAUUUAUGGUACAAUUUAGAGGUUUGUCAAAGUAUUAAUUCAGUAAUCUAUACUCCCACAAAAAUAUAGUUGGAGAUAUAUUUUGAUAAAAUCAAUAGAAAUUGGAAUCCAAACUCUUAUGGUGUGUUUACUUGAGGGUUUAGGGAAUGAGAAUGAAACCUAUGUUUAAUUGACAAAAUGUAAUUUGGGAAUGAGAAUAAAAUAUGUGGGUCCCACACAAUUUGGGAAUAAUGAAUGAGAAUUUCAUUCCUAUGGGGGGUUGUGAAUAAAAAUGAGGGAAUGAGAAUGAAAUUCAUUUUUACUUUUGUAUCCCUCUAAUUUUUUCAUAUUUUCCGAAUUAUCCUCGUUCAAAUCACAAUUAAUUUUAUUAUUUUAAAUGUCAUUAUUAUUAUUUUUAUUAAAUUUUAUUAACUUUAUUAUUUUAGUUAUUAUUAAUUAUUGUUAUUAAAUUUUAUUAACUUUAUUAAUAUUAUCAUUAUUAACAUUUCUUAUGAUUUUUAUUAAUAUUAGCAUUAUUAACAUUUAUUAUUUUAAUUAAUAUUAUCAUUAUUAACAUUUAUUAUUUUAAUUAAUAUAUUUUUUAUAAUAAUAUUUAUACAUGUAUCUAGUUAAUGAAAAUUAUAUUAUUUAAUACUAUAGAUAUUUUGAUAAAUUAAUUCUCAUUUACAUUCCUCAUUCUCAUUUGUUUUGUAGAUAAAUAUAUCAAUGACAUUUCAGCAUAUUUUCAUUCUCAUUUAUUUUUACCAAAUAAAUAUUGAAAUCUCAUUCUCAUUUUAAUACAUUUUUAUUCUCAACUCAUUUUAUGAAUUAAACGCACCAUUAAUAUUGAAGGACGUGUGUUACCGCCGGUCCAAAAGGCCAAAUGGCCAAUGAUAGUUUGGGGGUAUUUUGUGGUAAAUAAAAACUAAUAGAGGUCAAAAUAAAAAUUCGUUAUCAUUGAGUCUUGAUGUGUGGUAAAAAAAAAGAAGUACAGCUUUGGGGCAGGGGGUUGGUAGCGUGUGUGAUCCAAAUCUUAGCAGGCACACUGGCACAACUUUUCCAUAUUUUAAAGGUCCGCCUAGUCUAAUUUCAUAUAGUCCCCCUAUAUUCUAUAUUAUUUAUAUUUUAUUUAUAAAUAUUAUAAAUUUUUUGAAAUAUAAAAUUUCGUUUAAACCCCUUAUACUCAAUUUUAUUUUAUUAAAAUCAUAGAGUAUGAAUUCGCCCCCAUAAUUUUAAAUUCUCAAAAUAACCUCCAUUUAAUUAAAAAUAUAAUUAUUGUUAAAUGAAUUAUAAUUAUAAUUAUAAUUUUAUUAUAAUCAUAAAUAUUUUUUAAUAGAUUAUUGUUAUUAUUAAUAACGAUAAUAAAAAAUAUUAUAAUUAAUUAAUCUAUUAACAAUAAUUAAUAAUAUUUUUAUUAAAUUGUUAGUAAUAAUAAUAAUAAUUAAUGAUAAUCAACAUAUUUAUGAUUAUAAUAAAAUGGAAUAAACACUGAGUCUAUAUUUCUAUAAGAGACUCUUUUAUAUUUCUAUACAUUUUAAUUUCAAGUACUUUUAGGAUUUUUUUGUUACCUUCAUAAAUAAUGAUUUUGUAGGCAUCUCAUUAUUAAACGGUCAUUUUUAAGUGCUUUUUGCUAAGUUGUUACACAUUCGAGGAUGUAAACACAUUUUUCUUGCUUCUAUUUUUUAAAUAUAAAAUUAUUUUUAUUGGGUCAAGCUUAAAAUUCUGACAGAAAUUAUCAUUUAUUGGUCUCUUGAAACCCGAUAAUGAGUAUUUAAAGUCGAAGGUAGCAUUAGCAAUAUAUUUACUAUUAGUUAGAUAAUCAUUAAUUAUUAUUAUUAUUAUUAACAAUUUAUAAUGCUUAACAAAAUUUUAUUUUAAUAACAAUAAUCUAUUAAAAAAAUAUUUAUGAUUAUAAUAAAAUUAUAAUUAUAAUUAUAAUUCAUUUAAUAAUAAUUAUAUUUUUAAUUAAAUGGAGGUUAUUUUGAGAAUUUAAAAUUAUGGGGGCGAAUUCAUACUCUAUGGUUUUAAUAAAAUAAAAUUGAGUAUAAGGGAGUUAAACAAAAUUUUAUAUUUAAAAAAUUUAUAAUAUUUAUAAAUAAAAUAUAAAUAUUAUAGAGUAUAAAUAAAAAUAAAAAGUGCUAAAUAUAGGCUGUAUACAGCCAUAAACGAAGAAAGUUUGGAUUUGUAAUUAUAUUUCAUAAGAAAAUUAUCGCCGUACCUUCCUGGUUCCUUUAUCUAUCGUCAAGACAUUGUGUUAUGGAUCGCAAUUCCAUUAACACUGUUCUCCUCUCAAUUAUUCAGCGUAGCUAAACCUGAAAGUGGAUCUUCAAAUCAUUGAGCAUGGCAGCAUUGCAAUUAUUUUUUCUCUUUGUGGCCCUUAAUGUGGUCCUUGGUUCAUCACGGCAAAUCAUCACGACCCUGCCGGGCUUUGAUGGUGAUCUUCCCUUCAAACUCGAAACU